GGCUUCAUAGCUCAGCUGGUUAGAGCGUCGCACCGGAAGCGUCGCAUCGCAAGGUCACGGGUUCAAACCCCGUUGAAGUCC
This 81-nucleotide transfer RNA is filed under the name Acropora cervicornis. Its description in RNAcentral is "tRNA-OTHER". It matches the Rfam family "tRNA". From Rfam's summary of the family: Transfer RNA (tRNA) molecules are approximately 80 nucleotides in length. Their secondary structure includes four short double-helical elements and three loops (D, anti-codon, and T loops). The record is from RNAcentral. Lineage: Eukaryota; Metazoa; Cnidaria; Anthozoa; Scleractinia; Acroporidae.